UACGGGGGGGGCAAGCGUUGUUCGGAAUUACUGGGCGUAAAGGGCUCGUAGGCGGCCAACUAAGUCGGAUGUGAAAUCCCCAGGCUUAACCUGGGAACUGCAUCCGAUACUGGAUGGCUUGAAUCCGGGAGAGGGAUGCAGAAUUCCAGGUGUAGCGGUGAAAUGCGUAGAUAUCGGAAGGAACAUCAGUGGCGAAAGCGACUCACUGGACACAUAUUGACGCUGAGGUGCGAAAGCGUGGGGAGCAAACAGG
RNAcentral lists this ribosomal RNA (253 nucleotides) under uncultured bacterium. Its description in RNAcentral is "partial 16S ribosomal RNA". It matches the Rfam family "Bacterial small subunit ribosomal RNA", at positions 524 to 776 of the family's 1533-position model. The record is from RNAcentral.